Lemur catta (Ring-tailed lemur) is the source of this 900-nucleotide long non-coding RNA. RefSeq lists it as uncharacterized. Lineage: Eukaryota; Metazoa; Chordata; Mammalia; Primates; Lemuridae. The transcript has 4 exons. The record is from RefSeq and is a predicted model, not a curated record.
CCCUGAAAAACUUUUAUUAUAUUUUGUAGAUUUGAUGGGUGCCUAGUGAUCAAAGCCAGGCCAAGAUUUGCAGCAAUAAGAGACAACCCCCCUGCAUCUACCUUAUAAACUUCUCUUCCAACGAGGUCAAACAAUGGUCAUGCUGUCAGAGGAAACACUGGCUGGGCAAAUGACCUCGACUUUUGCUUUGGCUGCGAUCCCCAAGAGAGACUUUGAAGAGUUUGGAGAGAGCAGACACACAGAUGUGCGUUAACCAAUAGUCUGACCUGAAGUGAACGUUUGCACGAGGGGACUCCUGAGUCAGGCGUCUUUUUGAUCUUUUCAGGAGACAGUUCAAAUUUGUCUACCUCUGUGGUCUGGGAAUCUCACCUCUGGCCUACCUGAUAGAAAGAAAUGUCUUGAGGGACUCACCUUGAAGCCAAGCCUACAGAAUUUCAACAGAUAGAACUCCACCAAACAUAAGCUCACAGUCCACAAUUACAAGACACACGGGAAACUUCUUUAUCUGGCAGAAAAUGGUAACUAAUCAAACCUGCAGCGGAAGGCAACUUUUCAACUCUCAGUCAAUUUGAUCAACAUUAAGCAUCCAUCACAUGAAGGAUUGGGAGUGAUAACCUUAAAAAAUCCUGCUAGGCUUCUAGUUAUUGAUGGUCUGCUCAGUCUGAUGGAUGAAGGGGUGAGGACAAGUCAAAGCACACACCUGGCUGCCGGCCUGCUUCGCCUUGUGCUGGGCAGGACUUGUGGCUAGAAGGCUCUAUUGUUGGUUUUACCAAAAACACACUUCCGUUGUCAUGAUCGGUCAGAAUUUGAUCCUAGCUGGAGGUCUGGCCUUCCUAGCCUUGCCUUGGGAUUUUCAGAAAAGCUCAGAGAACAAUUUACAAUAAAGCUUAAUUACUUUUA